AAUAUUUCUAUGGAGUGGGGAGAUAAGCAUAUCAGUGUAUUUAAUUAGGAUCAAGUGUUUCAUCCAAGAUUUUGUAAAGCAUUAUCAAACAAUAAAAUAGUACAUUAUUCUUUUUUAAACUUAUGAUAAUUGUUAACUUUGAUUAUUUGCUCCUUUUCUCUUCAUGUCAGCUGAUACGUGGGAUUCAAAGAAGGACAAUACAGUUCUCUAUCUGUUGUGUGCUGCCUUGGCUUUAAGUCUGCUUGUGAUUGCUUUUGUCAUUUUUUCAAACAAGAAAUUCGAGCAAGAAUCAUGCGUGUAUUGUAACGGUAAGCAAAGUCACUCAUACAUCAAUGUGUCAAACAGUGGAUGGCAAAACUGGAUUCACAUUUAUAUUGUGUUUUUAUGUCACAAUACAGCUGCUGUUGCUCAGCAAACAAAUGCAGCAGCCAGUGGGAUUCAGGAGAAUCUGCAGACAGAUGAGGACUCUUUGGUUUAUUCUGUUGCAACUUUCAUCAGUAAAAAAAGCUACUAAAACACAGACAAGGGAGACAAAACCUACAAAGGAGGAGAGCAUCUACACUGAUGUCAAGACUCUUGGAGUAACAUCUUGACACUGGGUUAGCUUUACUAUGAUUUUGUCUGCACACUGUAGAAAAAGUACUUUUUAAUCUUUUGAAUAAAAACAGUUUUACAUAUCUGUUUGACAUUUUAUUUACAUGCAAAGAAAAAGAUUCAUGAUGCAACAUAGUUGAAUCAGUUUAGAUGUUGCAGUAGACAGAAGUACAACAGAUCCUAUAACUAUGAGGAACUUUUGUCUAAGGUGUACAUUGUGAGAAUAUUUUCCUAAAUAUCUUUAUGUACAGUUUAUGUAUAUGUGUGUAUUUCUUCAUGACUCACAUCUAUAUCUCACAGCCAUGUCAAGGCAAUGAAAUAAAAGGAAACGAUGGCUCUGUA
Stegastes partitus (bicolor damselfish) is the source of this 936-nucleotide long non-coding RNA. RefSeq lists it as uncharacterized. The transcript is spliced from 2 exons. Lineage: Eukaryota; Metazoa; Chordata; Actinopteri; Pomacentridae. The record is from RefSeq and is a predicted model, not a curated record.